RNAcentral lists this ribosomal RNA (460 nucleotides) under uncultured bacterium. RNAcentral describes it as "partial 16S ribosomal RNA". It matches the Rfam family "Bacterial small subunit ribosomal RNA", at positions 338 to 795 of the family's 1533-position model. The record is from RNAcentral.
CCUACGGGGGGCAGCAGUGAGGAAUAUUGGUCAAUGGACUAGAGUCUGAACCAGCCAAGUCGCGUGAAGGAUGACUGCCCUAUGGGUUGUAAACUUCUUUUAUAUGGGAAUAAAAUGUUCCACGUGUGGGAUUUUGUAUGUAACAUAUGAAUAAGGCUCGGCUAACUCCGUGCCAGCAGCCGCGGUAAUACGGAGGAUACGGGCGUUAUCCGGAUUUUGUGGGUUUAAAGGGAGCGUAGGUGGAGUGUUAAGUCAGUUGUGAAAGUUUGCGGCGCAACCGUAAAAUUGCAGUUGAAACGGGCAGUCUUGAGUACAGUAGAGGUGGGCGGAAUUCGUGGUGUAGCGGUGAAAUGCUUAGAUAGCACGAAGAACGCCGAUGGCGAAGGCAGCUCACUGGACUGCAACUGACACUGAGGCUCGAAAGUGUGGGUAUCAAACAGGAUUAGAGACCCUUGUAGUC